AUGACAGAGUAUUUCUCUGUGAACUCCAUGAGAGGUCAAAGGUCAUUCCAGAGGUCACAGAAUGAAGCACUGUGGUACACUUUCGGUGGAGGAACUGAACUGGUGAUCAGAACUGGUCCCGCAGUGAAGCCCUCCGUGUCUCUGCUGCCGCCCUCUUCUCUGCAGAUCUCUGGAGACUCAGCCGCACUGCUCUGCCUGCUCAGCUCUUACUCUCCACAGGGGGCGACGGUGAGCUGGACGCUGGACGGGUCAGAGGUCACCGAGGGGGUUCAGACCAGCGCAGAGAGCGAGCGGGACGGACGCUACAGCCGCAGCAGCGUCCUGAGCCUCAGCAAAGCACGCUGGGAAGGCGCGGAUCGCUUCAUCUGCAGAGUAAGACAUGACGGAGCUGAUCACGAGGCCUCGUUCCUCAAGAGCUCCGAGUGCUGAUGUUUCUCCAGUCGAGACGAGCCGUAUCUGAGCGUCCGGCAGGAUUCACGGCAGUCACGUGAUUUACAGCUCAAUACUGAAGCAGUCUUUCAAUGUGCUGCCAUUGCUGUUCAUUCAAUAAAGCUUCUGAACGCGUUA
Molecule: non-coding RNA, 567 nt
Organism: Ctenopharyngodon idella (grass carp)
Lineage: Eukaryota; Metazoa; Chordata; Actinopteri; Cypriniformes; Xenocyprididae
Source: the annotation of a RefSeq genome assembly